RNAcentral lists this ribosomal RNA (256 nucleotides) under uncultured bacterium. RNAcentral's name for it is "partial 16S ribosomal RNA". It matches the Rfam family "Bacterial small subunit ribosomal RNA", at positions 524 to 776 of the family's 1533-position model. The record is from RNAcentral.
GACGUAGGUGGCGAACGUUAUCCGGAAUCAUUGGGCGUAAAGGGUGCGUAGAUGGCAUGAUAAGUUAUUAGUGGGAAAUCGAGGCUCAACCUCGUGGAAGCUAGUAAUACUGUUUUGCUUGAGUACAGAAGAGGUUAACGGAACUCCAUGUGGAGCGGUAAAAUGCGUAGAUAUAUGGAAGAACACCAAUAACGGCGAAGGCAGUUAACUACUCUGUUACUGACAUUGAGGCACGAAAGCGUGGGGAGCAAAACGG